CUGCUCAGAAAGGAAACAGCAUACGCUUGUGGAAAUCAUUUGUGCUGUUCACUACGUUUCUCUAGCUCAUCAAGAGAUUGCAUCUCUCUGCUGCCCAUAAAGUGACACAUGACCCUAUAACCGGCUUCAGGAAAUGAGAGUGGAAACACAGCUUGAAGAGUUGGUCUGCCAUGUACCAUGCUGUCUCUCCCCUUGCCGCCAUGACAACUUGGCACUGUUCCAGUAAUGGCGGCUCCGCCAGCCUGGGUCCCAGAGUGUGGAAGGCAAGCAGCAGAGCCUUCAGGAGAUCUGUGCUAGGUGAAUUAACACUUCUUCCGGAAGUCCCUCCCUUAAACCGGAAACCAUCUGCUGCCCAGUGUUGUGACUUCCAAAAGGACCAAGCCUUUUACGGCACUCAGGGUCUUGUGAUUGUCUGCUUGCAACAUCUGCUGUCCUUGCCCAGGGCUACAUCCACAGCCGCUCCUGCAAAAAUACAGGAUCAAUCCUUCAAGAUAAGAGAAUUUUAUCGUGGAAGCAGAGCGAGUGGCAUCUCCCCACUGCACCAGAAAGGCUUCUGGAGUUCACGCACUGCCCUUGGCUCCUCCAGUUGCUAUCAAGUUGAUUUACUUCUGCAUGGAGCAUCUUAGGACCUAAGAAUAGCAAUGAUGAAACCCAGAAAGAAAAGGCAGACUCACAGCAUGGAACACACUGUCUGGCUCAACUAAUAUUUGUUGCCUAAAGCAGGCACCAUGAGAAGGAAAAGUAAAUCGCUGCAGCCUGAGAAAAUGUGGUACCCUCAACUGGGUAAAACCAUCGUAGGCAACAUGGCUCAUGGUGCAAGGUUCUUAAAAAGAAGAAACAACAUUGCUUGCUUCAGCAGCACAUAUACUAAAAUUGGAACAAUACAGAGAAGGUUGGCAUGGCCCCUGAGCAAGGAUGACAUGCAAAUUCAUGAAACGUUACAUAGGUUUUUACUAUAGGUAACAAUACAUUAUAUAGUUUCAACUAGCUAGGGGGAGGAUAUUGAAUGUUUCCAAUCCAAAGAAAUGAUCAGUGUUUGAGAGGAUGGAUAUGCUCGCUCAUUACCCUGACCUGAUCACCAUACAUUAAAUGUAUCAAAACAUCACUGUCCACCCAUGAAUAUGUACAAUUAUUUUUUGUCAAUUUUAAAAAAUAAGACACAACAAACUAUAUGCAGCAUAAUCCACAGAAACAAUAAGAGCUCCAAGACUGAUAUGAAGGAAAGGAAGAGCUCCUUGUUUAUCUUGAAACAUAUGAAUUCUGCUGGACUCCUUCAUUUUGUAGUCAUUGUAAAACUCUUAUGCUUUCAGCACUUAAAAUUUUUCAAUAUCAGAAACACUUUGAACUACCUAACAGUUUCCUGUAUUUGGUUUUGUAUUCCAGAAAAGGGGUCUAAAAUACUUUAACAGAAAACAUUUCUACCAUAUGUUCUAAUAAUAAAUUCACUUCCUAGUUAUAUACAGCGAUCCAUUAAACUUUAAUAAUAAUAUUUUUGUUUCUAUUAAAGACUAAGAACUUUUCA
Homo sapiens (human) is the source of this 1522-nucleotide long non-coding RNA. RefSeq lists it as uncharacterized. Lineage: Eukaryota; Metazoa; Chordata; Mammalia; Primates; Hominidae. The transcript has 4 exons. The record is from RefSeq and is a predicted model, not a curated record.